CCUGUGGAGUGUUACAUCAAACCAGAGUAGCUUCGGCAAAAUGGGACACUGUGAAGCAGGAA
Molecule: small RNA, 62 nt
Organism: Peptoclostridium acidaminophilum DSM 3953
Lineage: Bacteria; Bacillati; Bacillota; Clostridia; Peptostreptococcales; Peptoclostridiaceae
Rfam family: RAGATH-18 RNA
About the family: Actinobacteria, Firmicutes, Fusobacteria, Thermotogae (1 example).
Source: Rfam